Camelina sativa (false flax) is the source of this 2096-nucleotide non-coding RNA. The record is from RefSeq and is a predicted model, not a curated record. NCBI's taxonomy places the organism in Eukaryota, Viridiplantae, Streptophyta, Magnoliopsida, Brassicales, Brassicaceae.
UGAAAAAUAAAAGAAAAUUAGAGGAGAAAUAUAUCGAUUCGGUUAAACACUAUUGACUAUUUUUUUCUCUCUUCUUUCUUCUCUCUGAAACUCGAUCUGAAUUAAACUUGAUUGGAAACCCUCACACUCGAUCCCAAUUUGUUUGUCUCUUCUUUCACUUUCGUUCUCUCUCAAUCCGUCUUAGCCUCAAUUCCUCACUGUCUCAAUCCCUCUCAGUCUUAAUCGUCACAUGGAUCGAUCCAAAUGAAAUUGGUGAGAUCAAAAGUGACACAUAAAGGAAGAUUUCAGUUAUUCCUUGUUAAAACCUCUCUUGUUUCAACGAUUCCUCUCCUCCAGUGGUCGAAGACUCCGCUUGAUUUGGGAAUUGACUAUGAGAUAUGGUUACUUAUCGGAUCCACAUAAUUCAAAGUCUCAAACCGGCUAUGUGUUUACACACGGUGGUACCGCGAUUUUGUGGCGUUCUAUGAAGCAAAGCAUUGUGGCCACUUCAUCUAAUCACGCGAAGAUUCUAGAAAUUCACGAAGCCAGCCGUGAAUGUGUUUGGUUGAGAUCGAUGAUUCAACAUAUCAGGACAGAUUGUGGCAUGGCCGACGAUAAGGAAGCAACAGUUAUAUAUGAGGACAAUACGGCUUGCAUCGCACAACUCAAGGAAGGAUACAUCAAGGGAGAUCGGACGAAGCACAUUUUGCCAAAGUUCUUCUUCACACAUGAAAUACAAAAGGUCGGAGAAGUUCAAGUGGUACAAGUUCAAUCAUGCGUCAACUCAGCCGAUCUCUUCACCAAGUCAUUGCCGACAUCGACAUUCAGGAAGCUCACGCACCAGAUUGGAAUGCGGAGACUUAAGGACUUUUAGUGAUGCUUGGAACAGGGGGAGCAAUGCGUGCUGUACUCUUUUUCCUUCACCAUGGUUUUGUCCCAUUGGGUUUUCCUGGUAAGGUUUUAAUGAGGUAGCACCCCCAAGCGUAUUGCACCGAUCCCUUAGCAUCGGCACGGUUAUGUCAUCCAAGGGGGAGUGUUGUAAAACACUUGGAGUAGAUCUUCCAUAACCGGUCCAUCCAUGGUCCAUACAUGGCCCAUGUACGCCAAGACAAUAAGGCCCUUCGGCCACCUCCUUUGUACUUAGUCGGUUUAGUUUCCUAAAGUGAUAAAGCUUUGUUCUUCACUAUAUAUGUAUGAUUAUCGAACAUAAUAAGAAUAAGAAUACAAAAUCUCCUUUGAGUUUCUCUAGUUUACAACAUAAACAAACUUGUUUCUGAUUGGCUAAUUCUUAAAGAUGAGGAUCAAACCUCAUUUGAUAUCCACCGUUCAUAAAAGUUAAAUCAACGGACAUAUUUACUUCUUUUACUUCUCUACCUCUAAACAUUAUAUCCUCUUCUACCUCGAGAUGCACACGUCUCUAUGAGAUCUUUGGCUUCCUUCCCUCUCUCAUAGCCAUGGCUGCUUUCACUUGUACUUCUCGCCCUCCAGUUUCUCUCUGUUCGAAUGGGAUCUUUACCAUCGGCUUCACACUCUGUUCACCUUGUAUCCGUCUUUCUCACUCUCCAGCUUUGUUGACCUCGAUUCAUCCUAGGAAAUUGCUAAAAAUUAAGACCCAUGUUCUUAAGGAUAUUAAAGAAGAUGUUUCGAGGAAGAAGUUUCAAUGGAAGAAGAAGAAGUUUCAAUUGCUGUAGAUGUUUUUUUUUGUAACCAAAAAGCCUAAUGGGCUCUAUGAAACCACAAAACAAUUCAAGACAAUAAGUCCAAUUGGAUGUGUAAUGUCUUACGUAUAUAAUUAUUUUUGUAAACUUUUUACUUUUUUUGUAAAAUUACCAGUUUUAUAUUAAUAAAUAUCUCAUUUAUCUCACAUAUUAGCAAAUAACCAAAUUAAUAAUAUAUAUUAAUUUGUACAAAUACGAUAUAAAUACACAAAACAGUCUACAUAUAACAAAACUGCUAUUAUAGUUUUACAAAAAAAUGGUAGAAUUAAAUAGAUUAACAGCAAAUAAUAAUGCUAUUGUCUAAUAAAAGAUUGCAUACAAAAAACCGCUAUAUUAUUGAAUAUUUUGAUAGCACUUUUAAAAAAUGUUAUGUAAAAUGUCAAACCUAUUAUAAUGGGA